ACGGGGGGAGCAAGCGUUGUUCGGAUUUACUGGGCGUAAAGGGCGCGUAGGCGGCCACCGCAAGUCGACUGUGAAAUCUCCGGGCUUAACCCGGAAAGGUCAGCCGAUACUGCGGGGCUAGAGUGCAGAAGGGGCAACUGGAAUUCUCGGUGUAGCGGUGAAAUGCGUAGAUAUUGGGAGGAACACCAGUGGCGAAGGCGGCUCACUGGACUGGUACUGACGCUGAGGCGCGAAAGCGUGGGGAGCAAACAGGA
RNAcentral lists this ribosomal RNA (254 nucleotides) under uncultured prokaryote. RNAcentral's name for it is "partial 16S ribosomal RNA". It matches the Rfam family "Bacterial small subunit ribosomal RNA", at positions 525 to 777 of the family's 1533-position model. The record is from RNAcentral.